AGGGAAUCUUCCGCAAUGGACGCAAGUCUGACGGAGCAACGCCGCGUGAGUGAAGAAGGUCUUCGGAUCGUAAAGCUCUGUUGUUAGAGAAGAACAGCGCAUAGAGUAACUGUUAUGCGUGUGACGGUAUCUAACCAGAAAGCCACGGCUAACUACGUGCCAGCAGCCGCGGUAAUACGUAGGUGGCGAGCGUUGUCCGGAUUUAUUGGGCGUAAAGGGAGUGUAGGCGGUCUUUUAAGUCUGAUGUGAAAGCCCACGGCUCAACCGUGGAGGGUCAUUGGAAACUGGGAGACUUGAGUGCAGAAGAGGAGAGCGGAAUUCCAUGUGUAGCGGUGAAAUGCGUAGAUAUAUGGAGGAACACCAGUGGCGAAGGCGGCUCUCUGGUCUGUAACUGACGCUGAGGCUCGAAAGCGUGGGGAGCAAACAGGAUUAGAUACCCUGGUAGUCCACGCCGUAAACGAUGAGUGCUAAGUGUUGGAGGGGUUCCACCCUUCAGUGCUGGAGUUAACGCAAUAAGCACUCCGCCUGGGGAGUACGGCCGCAAGGCUG
Molecule: ribosomal RNA, 549 nt
Filed under: uncultured bacterium
Lineage: Bacteria
Description: bacterial SSU rRNA
Rfam family: Bacterial small subunit ribosomal RNA
Source: RNAcentral